GACGAACGCUGGCGGCGUGCUUAACACAUGCAAGUCGAACGGAAAGGCCCUGCUUUUGUGGGGUGCUCGAGUGGCGAACGGGUGAGUAACACGUGAGUAACCUGCCCUUGACUUUGGGAUAACUUCAGGAAACUGGGGCUAAUACCGGAUAGGAGCUCCUGCUGCAUGGUGGGGGUUGGAAAGUUUCGGCGGUUGGGGAUGGACUCGCGGCUUAUCAGCUUGUUGGUGGGGUAGUGGCUUACCAAGGCUUUGACGGGUAGCCGGCCUGAGAGGGUGGCCGGCGACAAUGGGACUGAGAUAGGGCGCAGAAUGCUACGGGAGGCAGCAGUGGGGAAUAUUGCGGAGUAGGCGGAAGCCUGAUGCAGCAACGCCGGGUGCGGGAUGACGGCCUUCGAGGUGUAAACCGCUUUCGACUGUGACGAAGAGUGAGUGACGGUAAUGGGUAAAGAAGCACCGGCUAACUACGUG
This 468-nucleotide ribosomal RNA is filed under the name uncultured bacterium. RNAcentral's name for it is "partial 16S ribosomal RNA". It matches the Rfam family "Bacterial small subunit ribosomal RNA", at positions 28 to 507 of the family's 1533-position model. The record is from RNAcentral.